RNAcentral lists this ribosomal RNA (490 nucleotides) under uncultured Oscillospiraceae bacterium. RNAcentral describes it as "partial 16S ribosomal RNA". The record is from RNAcentral. Lineage: Bacteria; Bacillati; Bacillota; Clostridia; Eubacteriales; Oscillospiraceae.
CACGUAGUUAGCCGUGGCUUAUUCAUUCGGUACCGUCACUUUCUUCGUCCCGAAUAAAAGAAGUUUACAACCCGAAAAGCCUUCUUCCUUCACGCGGCGUUGCUGGGUCAGGCUUGCGCCCAUUGCCCAAUAUUCCCCACUGACUGCCUCCCGUAGGAGUCUGGGCCGUGUCUCAGUCCCAAUGUGGCCGGCCAACCUCUCAGUCCGGCUACUGAUCGUCGCCUUGGUGGGCCAUUACCCCGCAACUAGCUAAUCAGACGCGAGCUCAUCUCAGAGCGAUAAAUCUUUGGCAUCCAAACCAUGCGACUCAGAUGACAUCAAUGCGGUAUUAGCGGUCUGUUUCCAGUCCGUUAUUCCCCCAUUCCAAGGUCAGGAUUGCUCACGCGUUACUCCACCGUUCCGCCACUUUCCUCAGUCCUUCCCUCACGACGAAUCCUUGUUCCACUGAUUCUCGUUCGACUUGCAUGUUGUUAAGCACGCCGCCAGUCGU